AUUCUGCUCAGAUUGAACGCUGGCGGCGUGCUUAACACAUGCAAGUCGAGCGAGAAAGUUCUCUUCGGAGAAUGAGUAGAGCGGCGCACGGGUGAGUAACGCGUGGAUAAUCUACCCUGAAGAUCGGGAUAACAGUUGGAAACGACUGCUAAUACCGGAUAUCCUGCAUAUUUAGCUUUAUGUGGUAAAGGCGGCCUCUAUUUAUAAGCUGCCGCUUUGGGAUGAGUCCGCGUCUCAUUAGCUUGUUGGUGGGGUAAUGGCCUACCAAGGCAACGAUGAGUAGCUGGUCUGAGAGGAUGAUCAGCCACACUGGGACUGAAACACGGCCCAGACUCCUACGGGAGGCAGCAGUGGGGAAUAUUGCGCAAUGGGGGAAACCCUGACGCAGCGACGCCGCGUGCGGGAAGAAGGCCUUCGGGUCGUAAACCGCUGUCAGGAGGGAAGAAACUGUUAGGGUAUAAUACGCCCUUUCACUGACGGUACCUCCAAAGGAAGCACCGGCUAACUCCGUGCCAGCAGCCGCGGUAAUACGGAGGGUGCGAGCGUUAAUCGGAAUCACUGGGCGUAAAGCGCACGUAGGCGGCGCAUCAAGUCAGGCGUGAAAGCCCUCGGCUCAACCGAGGAAUUGCGCUUGAAACUGGUGUGCUGGAGUCUCGGAGAGGUUGGCGGAAUUCCAGGUGUAGGAGUGAAAUCCGUAGAUAUCUGGAGGAACACCGGUGGCGAAGGCGGCCAACUGGACGAGUACUGACGCUGAGGUGCGAAAGCGUGGGGAGCAAACAGGAUUAGAUACCCUGGUAGUCCACGCUGUAAACGAUGGAUAUUAGGUGUCGGGGGUUACCUUCGGUGCCGCAGUUAACGCGUUAAAUAUCCCGCCUGGGGA
Molecule: ribosomal RNA, 880 nt
Filed under: bacterium KJ0052F03-SRB-5-1-1000x-1B(SRB 38)
Lineage: Bacteria
Description: bacterial SSU rRNA
Rfam family: Bacterial small subunit ribosomal RNA
Source: RNAcentral